GUGCUGCUUAAUAGUGGGAAUGGCACUGUCUGGGGCAAUAAUGAGGGUCUCUGUUUUUUCUGACUUUAGUUGGAGGCUGUUGUCAAAUAGACAGUGUUUA
Long non-coding RNA from Salarias fasciatus (jewelled blenny), 100 nucleotides. RefSeq lists it as uncharacterized. The record is from RefSeq and is a predicted model, not a curated record. The transcript is spliced from 3 exons. Lineage: Eukaryota; Metazoa; Chordata; Actinopteri; Blenniiformes; Blenniidae.